This 757-nucleotide long non-coding RNA is filed under the name Mytilus galloprovincialis (Mediterranean mussel). The record is from RNAcentral. Lineage: Eukaryota; Metazoa; Mollusca; Bivalvia; Mytilida; Mytilidae.
AGAUCUUAGAAUUCUCAGACAAAAUAAAAUGAGGGGUCAAUACAUAAGGUCAAAAACACAAUGGGUAGAAGAAGGAGAGAAACCUUCAAAAUAUUUCAUAAAUUUAGAGACAAAAAAUUAUGUAAAUAAAACAAUUCCUAAAUUAAUUGAUAAAUCAGGAAAUAUAAUUGAAAACCAAAAACGAAUUCUAAACGAAGCGAAAAAUUAUUACAAAAAUCUAUAUUCCAAAAAUGAGACAAUAAAAUCUAUUAAUCUGAGCAAUGCUUUACCCCAUAAAGAUAUACCAAAAUUAUCUGAAAAUAUGAAAGAGUCGUUAGAAGGGGAAAUAUCAUUUAUAGAAUUGACUGAUGCAAUUAAAAGAAUGAAAAAUGAGAAAAGCCCUGGAUCGGAUGGAUAUACAAAUGAAUUCCUAAAAUUUUUUUGGAUUGAUAUAGGUAAAUUCAUACAUAGAUCAAUUAAAUAUGGCUAUAAUCAAGGGGAAAUGUCUAUUACCCAAAAACAAGGUAUUAUAACUUGCAUACCAAAAGGUGACAAACCAAAACAAUACAUGAAGAAUUGGCGGCCAAUUAGUCUUUUAAAUAAUAUUUAUAAAUUAGCAUCAAGUUGCAUUGCAGAAAGGAUAAAGUCAGUUUUAACAAUCUUAAUUAAUAAUGACCAGACAGGAUUUAUACCUGGUAGAUUUAUUGGUGAAAACACCAGACUAAUAUACGAUUUACUACACUACACUGAAGAAAAUGAUAUCCCAGGCAUUCUCCUC